Molecule: long non-coding RNA, 2691 nt
Organism: Perca fluviatilis (European perch)
Lineage: Eukaryota; Metazoa; Chordata; Actinopteri; Perciformes; Percidae
Exons: 2
Source: RefSeq, a predicted model, not a curated record
UCCCCCUGUGGUUUUUAGUGGUUAAUUGACUUUUGCAUCUCAGUGUAAUCUUUCUGUGUUGUAUAUACAAACACAUACCAGUUGCAUCCUUUGUAGAAUUAUGUGGUUUGCGAAGUGUCUUGUUUGCCAUGUUUGAGACCGUAUUUUUUAGAGAAGUAUUCUAAUUUUGCCUUUUUUUUAAGAAAAGACACAAAAAUCAAAAUCGGCAUGCUUUUUAUUGAGAAUAUGUAUACUAUAAUCAUUAUUAUAAUAAAGAAUGUUUGGCUGACUACUGUGGUAAAAGAAAGCAAAGGGUUUGGACAUUUCCCCUUCUUGUUUAUGUUGUUCUUCUCCACUAUCUGUUUCUCUUGUGUAAAAUGACCACCAGACCCAUUUGACUGGGGACCCAGGGGGACUCAGGUGUAGAUGCUGGCCCAGCUUUGCUCUCUUUGGUCAGGGUAAGUGCGGGUUGGUGCUCCUUUCUCUCUCCAGCCUCUCAAACUGGGAGCAAACCAAAAUUUAUGAGAAAGGGUUUGCACCUGACCAAAUGCACUUAAGUAUUUAAUUAAAGCAAGAAAGGCUUGGUAUUGUCCUUUUAAAAUUGGUUUUCAUCCAGAAAGGACAUUAUACAAACUGUGGCAUCAUGUUGAGAGCUGGGGAGAGGCACACAGAUAGAAUGGCCUGGGUGCAUUUUGAUCUGUGGAGCAGUCCUGUCUCUCGGGGUUGAUGGGUGUGCGUCUGGUCUGGUCUGUCCCUGCUGCACCAAAUUCUCCCCCUCCGUGUGUCUCUGUGUCCACUCUACUCUCAGACCUGCAUGUGUGAUAAUCUGUAACUCUGCCGCAAAAAAGAGCCGCGACAGUCCAGCUCUGAACUAACUAUCUCAACUGAAUUAGGUCCCCGGGCCACCUGGAACGGCCAGCGUGCAGCCGUGCGUGAGCGUGGCGGCAUGAGCCAUGGGGACGACUUUUAGCGCGACGCCACCACAGUGGGAACUUGUUCUCUCUCUCCUCACCACCAAGAGGCCUGGGCGUGCCAAUGGACAGUGUAUGUGUGGUGGCCCGCUGCCGGACUCAGUAACAUGACACAGAGAGACUUCAAUGUUGGACAAGUCGCUUUGCUAAAACUGUUGAAUGCUGGGUUUGCUCCACAUGGCUGUGGAAGGGAUCUUAACUCCUGUUUCCCAAAAGAACUUAGUUGCAUUUCAUCUUUAGUGAUAAAUCAACCUCAAACAGUUUUCUUACCUUUGGGUCCCUCACAGCCUGUGUGCCAAUCAGAAACGUCCUAUAAGAUAGGCCUUAGGUAUGAGGCCAGUCUGACCUGUAGAUUCUCAGUCUCAGGGUUCCUAUAGGACUUUUCUGGUACGGCAGCUCUGUUCCCCUAAUGCUGAGAUCAGCUGGAGUGGCUGGAUAUGAGCUCUGAGUGACUUGUAUGUGUUCUUACAUGUUAAGAUUGUCCAUGUGGUGAGAUAGAGAGAUUUUACCCUCACAUACGAUAGGCUUUCAGUAUGUCAAAUGAGUUGUCCGACAUUUGCUCUGACAGCUGCAAGAUGGAUGCAAGAGGGUGUUGCCUACUGUCUGCCCAACAAACAAAGGAGAGGGAUGAAUAGAUGAGUUGAUUAUAAGGUGAGUUGGUAGUGGAAGGAUCCUCUGUAAAAAAGCUGCUCCCUAACCUCACCUUCCUGAUCUUGGAGGACCCUGUUGUUGAUUGCUAUAAUAGAUAUUCUGGCCAGAAUGGUAUUCUAAAAAGGGCCCCUGUUUACACUGGACAUUGUCCAUAGUGUGAUGAUAAUGAUCCUGAUAAUGCAGCUUUGACUCUGAGGUGUCCAUUUCUUGAUACACUUCAUCUUUGUUAUACUAAAAUGUAUUCCACCAAAUCGGAUUUUGCAUUAACAGACAUUGAAUGCUCCAAAGAGCUCUUUUCAUCACAAUCCCCCCAGAAAACAUUGCUUUAGAAUGAGCAGAUAUGGCCGACUCCCUUCCCGGCCUCCAUGAUCAGGGCGCGUGGUGCUCCAAUUUAUUUCCUCCAGCCACCUCUUCCUCCCCACUCUCCCAAAUCCUCACAAUUGGCUUCUCCGGGUGCUUGCGAGUCUGGGCUUCCCGUGCUUGGGUGAAUGCAGCCACGCAUCUCUUAAACCCCCUGCUCUGAAUUCACAGUCGCACUGUACUGACAGCCACAGCUCGCUGCAGCCUCCUCCCCUACUUCCACUUCCCCACCUACUCUCCCCCUGCCUUCUGUGGUUUUUGGACAGCUGAAGAACUAAAGAUGCUCUUUAUGCACACAUCUUUGUACUGUGUUGUUUUGUUAGGAUCCCACAGGUUACAUCUGUUCUCCUGCAGCAGGUAACAGCUGAGUUAUGUAAGUGUGUGCAUCUGGAACAAACUCCAGCUUGGUUUGAGCACAACCCAUAGACCAUAUUGCCUUUUGAGUUUGCAAGUUGAGAUUCAGUAGUUUUAAUCAAUGUGACCAUGACUAUUCUAGCUCUUCUAGCACAGAUGUGAAUUACAGAUAUUAGACUAUACUGCUGCUCAGAUGAAGACUAUAGCAGUACAGUCAUACCUCAGCCAUUACCUCAUCUACAGGGGAUUUACACAACAUAAACACUUGCAGAAUUUAAUGCAGUUCAAUACAGCAUCCCUGCAUUUAUUAAGAUGUAUGAUGUUUUAUUUCCGUUGAGAAUUGGUAUUAGAAUAAACAACUCUCAUUACAUUGUAA